This 21-nucleotide unclassified non-coding RNA is filed under the name Mus musculus (house mouse). RNAcentral describes it as "oocyte_clustered_small_RNA10390". Lineage: Eukaryota; Metazoa; Chordata; Mammalia; Rodentia; Muridae. The record is from RNAcentral.
UGUUGAGUGCUCCUGUUCCCA